GCGUUCGUGGUGUAGUGGUGAGCACGCUUGACGCGUUUUCGAGAGGUCCGUGGUUCAAAUCCCGGCGAGGGCA
Molecule: transfer RNA, 73 nt
Filed under: Stegodyphus mimosarum
Lineage: Eukaryota; Metazoa; Arthropoda; Arachnida; Araneae; Eresidae
Rfam family: tRNA
About the family: Transfer RNA (tRNA) molecules are approximately 80 nucleotides in length. Their secondary structure includes four short double-helical elements and three loops (D, anti-codon, and T loops).
Source: Rfam by way of RNAcentral